Molecule: non-coding RNA, 1412 nt
Organism: Lolium perenne
Lineage: Eukaryota; Viridiplantae; Streptophyta; Magnoliopsida; Poales; Poaceae
Source: RefSeq, a predicted model, not a curated record
AAGAAUACAUGGGGUACUUACCGUUUCUUUAUAUCUUCCUUGCCAUUAGCUCAAGUGGAUAUUUCUUCAGUAAAUGCUUGAGUUAGUUUGAUAAUUUCAGUAGCAUGUAUCAGAUUGGGUUGUGUUCGUUCUAAUACAGUUUGGGUUUUCAGAUAUUUUGCGUAUUAGCUAAGAGCUCCUAAUAGUUUGUUUUUCCUCUUUGCAGCUACUAUUUCAGUUAAAUAUUUGAUGUGCUAAAACAAUAAUGUUGAGAGAACUCGUUUCUCCAAUGAAAAAUAAUAGCUCAAGAAGGUGAUUUCAGAUCUUCCUUGUGAGGUACUUCAAAAAGAUGCCAAUGAUGCACAAUGAGGAGAUGCUUGGGCCUUGUGGCGUGCCUACGGCAGCAGCUCCCCUGGCAGUGCGGUGUUCUCAGCUGGAUUAGGGCGACCUUGCUAGCAAACUCGCCAUCUCUUUCCCUAGGUCAUUUUUUAUGGAUAUAUGGACUACAAUAGGUAGUGUUUCUCUGCUCGGGUGUCAUUGUCAUCGACGGGCCUCUCAACUGUCUCGAGAUCCAGACUCAUCCAACUCGCCGCCGUUUUUAUGGGACAUAAGAGAAUAUAUGAGAAGCUAGAAGAGAAUGGUACUGCAUAUUGGGUGAAGAAGACUGCAUAUGCCUACACUGGUUGAAUGUAGUGUUUAUCAAUCAUCCAUUUUUUUUUGAAGUGCAACCCACAUGCUCUGGCCUGUAGCAAGAAUAUAUAUGUAUAUAUGGAGGUAGGCUAAGAUUCAAAUAUUGCUGCCUUUUGCACUGCUCUCGUCUAUGGCAGGAAUAUAUAUGGAGCUAGGCCAAGAUUUAGAUAUUGAUGUCCAGGUCCCUGAGUUGGUUAAUGUUGAUUUUGCUCAGGCACGGUCCAUCUUAGGGAUCAACGAGAGGUGGCUCAAGCGAUACGGGAUGGCGGCGAGCAGCGGCGACCGCAGCGGACGGUGCAGCAUACUGGACAUGCUUUAGAAAUCACGGUCAAGACAACACGUCCUGGGGAGUGGUGCGCCUGUCAAGCGACAGCGUCUGAUUCCUACACAACAAGGUGAGCUUUUCCCAAAUCCUCUUUCUUUAUAUCUCUCUCUUUCCAUCAAGCUUGUGCGAUGUGCUAUACUUUCUCAUCAUUUAUUAGAUAUAAUUGUUGGCACUUUCAAGGACCCAUUACACCUCCCUGUGGAAUUACUUGAUAUGUUGUGCAGCGUGAGACCCAUUACACCCCCUGUGGACCCAUUAAACUUUCGAGGGCCUCAUAUAGUGUUGUGAGCCUUCCCCGUGGCCUCCUUUUUAGUCUAUUGAUUUGAGGCUACUGCUACCUACCGUGUAGUUUCAUGCCUACUAGAAGGACCCCGCGCGCUUUGCUGCGCCGUCCUUUGUUGUACAUGUUUUUAUUUUU